Molecule: long non-coding RNA, 529 nt
Organism: Oncorhynchus gorbuscha (pink salmon)
Lineage: Eukaryota; Metazoa; Chordata; Actinopteri; Salmoniformes; Salmonidae
Exons: 3
Source: RefSeq, a predicted model, not a curated record
GGGGCGUAGUCUAGAUUUGAGCCAGGUGGGGACGUAGUCUAGAUUUGAGCCAGGUGGGGACGUAGUCUAGAUUUGAGCCAGGUGGGGACGUAGUCUAGAUUUGAGCCAGGUGGGGACCUAGUCUAGAUUUGAGCCAGGUGGGGACGUAGUCUAGAUUUGAGCCAGGUGGGGACGUAGUCUAGAUUUGAGCCAGGUGGGGACGUAGUCUAGAUUUGAGCCAGGUGGGGACGUAGUCUAGAUUUGAGCCAGGUGGGGACGUAGUCUAGAUUUGAGCCAGGUGGGGACGUAGUCUAGAUUUGAGCCAGGUGGGGACGUAGUCUAGAUUUGAGCCAGGUGGGGACGUAGUCUAGAUUUGAGCCAGGUGGGGACGUAGUCUAGAUUUGAGCCAGGUGGGGACGUAGUCUAGAUUUGAGCCAGGUGGGGACGUAGUCUAGAUUUGAGCCAGGUGGGGACGUAGUCUAGAUUUGAGCCAGGUGGGGACGUAGUCUAGAUUUGAGCCAGGUGGGGACGUAGUCUAGAAUUGAGCCAG